GAUGAACGCUGGCGGCGUGCCUAAUACAUGCAAGUCGAGCGAACGGACGAGAAGCUUGCUUCUCUGAUGUUAGCGGCGGACGGGUGAGUAACACGUGGAUAACCUACCUAUAAGACUGGGAUAACUUCGGGAAACCGGAACUAAUACCGGAUAAUAUUUUGAACCGCAUGGUUCAAAAGUGAAAGACGGUCUUGAUGUCACUUAUAGAUGGAUCCGCGCUGCAUUAGCUAGUUGGUAAGGUAACGGCUUACCAAGGCAACGAUGCAUAGCCGACCUGAGAGGGUGAUCGGCCACACUGGAACUGAGACACGGUCCAGAGUCCUACGGGAGGCAGCAGUAGGGAAUCUUCCGCAAUGGGCGAAAGCCUGACGGAGCAACGCCGCGUGAGUGAUGAAGGUCUUCGGAUCGUAAAACUCUGUUAUUAGGGAAGAACAUAUGUGUAAGUAACUGUGCACAUCUUGACGGUACCUAAUCAGAAAGCCACGGCUAACUACGUG
This 497-nucleotide ribosomal RNA is filed under the name uncultured bacterium. Its description in RNAcentral is "partial 16S ribosomal RNA". It matches the Rfam family "Bacterial small subunit ribosomal RNA", at positions 28 to 507 of the family's 1533-position model. The record is from RNAcentral.